AGGAGUGACCGAACGGAGAAGACGAAACACAGAGAGACUCCGCGGCAGAGGAAGUCAGCAGAGCAGAGUUUAAAUGGACACAAGGCUAUGUGAUGUUGUCUCGUUUCAGAAAGAACCUUCUGGUGGUGAAUGUUUAUUAGAUGCAUACUGGUUCAUUUGUUUGCUCGCUUCUGAGUGACUACAUAAUGAAUAUAAACAUCUUUACCAAAAGAAAUAUGGUAGAAAAAGAAGCAGGUGUUACUGGCAUAUGCCCAUCUCCCUGACCGCAUGGAAGGAACAUAUAACACCGUGAGCCUGAUGAGAAAGGGAAUUUCAGAAGAAACCUUCUUUCCUCUGGAUGAUCGAUCUCUGCAAAAUCUUCAUUAAGUUUUAGGCUCCCAGCACUACCUUGUUCCCGUCAGCAUGUACAUGAUGGAGCCUUAAGGACUGAUGUCGGGGAGCCAUCUCUGUGCCUCUCAUUCUUUUAGAAUACCUGAUUCUUCCUCUCGAACCUGCAGCUCUGCAGAGGAGGAAGAGUUGAGAGCGCGAAGAGUUGUGAUGCUGUUUCCUAGCAGCGCUCACAGAUUGGACGUUUCCAAAUGAUAACCAACCUGGGGCAUCUGUCCAGCUCAGUUAAGAGUCUGCGCUAACAGAGAUCUGCACUGGCCAGGGUCUGGGCGGCCGAAAGUUGCACACACAACAGCUUCCACAUUGCUCCUGCCAUCCCAGGAACGGUUCUUCCUUUAAUAUCCAUGUUUCUUUGCUUAUUGUUUGAAAGAGUACCAGAGAGAGAGAAUAAUGGUCAGAAUCAGUUCUAGAAGAUAUAAAUGAUGAAUUUGUUUGAAAAUAACUGUUCCAUUUUGGUAAGGAAUUUGUCAAGUUUUGGGUUAAAUUUGAUGGAACAAUGACAUCUGAUACAUACAGAUAUUCUUGUGCUUUGGUAGAGAUAAUAGGAACCCUGUGGGGAUAAGUGCAUUUAAAUCAAAGGGGUCUAAAACAUGCUGUAUUUUGUCAUGUAUAAGACACAUCCAUGUUUUGUGUGCAUUAUCCAUGAAAUUAUUAUGCCCAUUAUUAUACCCACAGUAUGUAACCAUUAUGCCCCUAUAUAGUGCACAUCCUUAUUUUUCCCUAAAAAAGUUGGGCAAAAAGUGCACAUUAUACAUGGCAAAAUAUGGUAGGUUACCUGUGGGCAGAGGGUGCCACUUGAAGGUGAAGUUCCAUAUUUUUACUCUAUGUUCAUCCGUAUGGCUUGAAUUGUAUUUUACAGUGAAUUUAUGCAUUACUUGUAUAACUUAAGAAAAUUAAUUUAAAAAUGUCAAUAAUUUCAUUUAA
Long non-coding RNA from Artibeus jamaicensis (Jamaican fruit-eating bat), 1311 nucleotides. RefSeq lists it as uncharacterized. The transcript has 3 exons. The record is from RefSeq and is a predicted model, not a curated record. NCBI's taxonomy places the organism in Eukaryota, Metazoa, Chordata, Mammalia, Chiroptera, Phyllostomidae.